This 254-nucleotide ribosomal RNA is filed under the name uncultured bacterium. RNAcentral describes it as "partial 16S ribosomal RNA". It matches the Rfam family "Bacterial small subunit ribosomal RNA", at positions 524 to 777 of the family's 1533-position model. The record is from RNAcentral.
UACGUAGGUGACCAGCGUUGUCCGGAUUUACUGGGCGUAAAGAGCGCGCAGGCGGUCGUUCAAGUCGAGUGUGAAAGCCCCCGGCUCAACUGGGGAGGGUCAUUCGAUACUGAUCGACUCGAAGGCAGGAGAGGGAAGUGGAAUUCCCGGUGUAGUGGUGAAAUGCGUAGAUAUCGGGAGGAACACCAGUGGCGAAGGCGACUUCCUGGCCUGUUCUUGACGCUGAGGCGCGAAAGCUAGGGGAGCAAACGGGG